GGAGAAUGGCCGUAGAUAUGAUGCAGAUAAGCAAGAAAGAAAAAUUAAGGACAAAAAGACAGAGCAGUUUCUAAAAAAUCAGAUUGUGCACUUCAAAAGAAUACCAUAAAGGCUCAUCAUCUUAAUCAAUUAUUGAUUACACCUUGGGACUUUCCACCAAUUCCAUUUGAUGCUGCUUUUAAAAUGGGGGCAUUGGACUAGAUGACCUUUAAAUGUCCCUUCUAUGAUUCUAUGAAAGGAAGGAAGGAAAAACAACAUUACUGCCCAUAGGAGAAGAAACUUUACACAGGAGACGGAACAAGCGAGCCUUACAUAUAAGGACUGGACACAAAAAAACUUGGAAGCUGCAGAAGUUUAAAUAGAAGCAAUACACUACAGGUAACAAAACUACUCAUAUCUUUGAAGAGUAUGUCAGGUAGUAACUUUAGAAAAACACAUGUGUUUUGAAAUUUUG
Molecule: long non-coding RNA, 454 nt
Filed under: Athene cunicularia (burrowing owl)
Lineage: Eukaryota; Metazoa; Chordata; Aves; Strigiformes; Strigidae
Description: lncRNA (ENSACUG00000008356.1)
Source: RNAcentral